Molecule: ribosomal RNA, 250 nt
Filed under: uncultured bacterium
Lineage: Bacteria
Description: partial 16S ribosomal RNA
Rfam family: Bacterial small subunit ribosomal RNA
Source: RNAcentral
UACGGAGGGAGCGAACGUUGUUCGGAUUCACUGGGCGUAAAGGGCGUGUAGGCGGUCUGGCAAGUCAGGGGUGAAAUGCCACGGCUCAACCGUGGAAUUGCCUUUGAAACUGCCGGACUUGAGGCCGUGAGAGGAGACUGGAAUUCCCAGUGUAGCGGUGAAAUGCAUAGAUAUUGGGAAGAACACCAGUGGCGAAGGCGAGUCUCUGGCACGGUUCUGACGCUGAGGCGCGAAAGCUAGGGGAGCAAAC